UUGUUUGCCCACGUAUGGGAGAAGAAAAAGGCAGGGUGUUCUCAUUUUCCAGUACUUUAUUGCUAUUUUGUUAUUAGCAUGGUUACUACCAACAACCAGUUCCAAACUCCAGGAGAAGUUACAAAGCCAGUUUGUUCAGAGUGACCUGGUGGGACAUCAGACAGCCAACAACAGCAUCUUUGUACUGACUGUGGAGUUAAAGUACUGCACCACAUUCCCCAGUGUUUUGGUGCUCUAAUCUUCCAGACUGAUUAAUCUUCAGAAGACUUGUCCAUGGAAACCAGGGAUCAGGUGACAUUCAGUUCUCGAGGAUGUGUAUUUAGACCCAAGAGCUGUGUAAAACCUCCAAAUGCUGCAGAACAAUCAUAAAAACAGAGACUAAUGUACCAACUCAUCAAAACGUGUGUCUACAUCUGGGCAAAAGUGAUCUACCUGUUAAAAAGUGAUCCUUCUAUAAUGAAAGGCCAGAUUCAACUCUCUUGAAUAAAAUAAAAAAAAAAAA
Long non-coding RNA from Oxyura jamaicensis (ruddy duck), 502 nucleotides. RefSeq lists it as uncharacterized. NCBI's taxonomy places the organism in Eukaryota, Metazoa, Chordata, Aves, Anseriformes, Anatidae. The record is from RefSeq and is a predicted model, not a curated record. The transcript is spliced from 2 exons.